UCCUCCUGCAAAGGCGUGUUUUUGGUUCCCUGUCCUUGGCCAUGUAAGAAUUGGAAGCAAAGAAAUAUGGUGGAUUUGGAAAGGUCUGGGACCACCUUGCCCCACAGGCUCAGGAUCCCACAGAG
Molecule: small nucleolar RNA, 125 nt
Organism: Rattus norvegicus (Norway rat)
Lineage: Eukaryota; Metazoa; Chordata; Mammalia; Rodentia; Muridae
Product: small nucleolar RNA SNORA38
Source: Ensembl